CUAAUACAUGCAAGUCGAGCGCGGGAAGCAAGCCGAUCCCUUCGGGGUGAUGCUUGUGGAACGAGCGGCGGACGGGUGAGUAACACGUGGGCAACCUGCCUGUAAGACUGGGAUAACUCCGGGAAACCGGGGCUAAUACCGGAUAGAGUUUUCUUUCGCAUGAGAGGAAACGGAAAGGCGGCUUCGGCUGUCACUUACAGAUGGGCCCGCGGCGCAUUAGCUAGUUGGUGGGGUAACGGCUCACCAAGGCGACGAUGCGUAGCCGACCUGAGAGGGUGAUCGGCCACACUGGGACUGAGACACGGCCCAGACUCCUACGGGAGGCAGCAGUAGGGAAUCUUCCGCAAUGGACGCAAGUCUGACGGAGCAACGCCGCGUGAGUGAUGAAUGUCUUCGGAUUGUAAAACUCUGUUGUUAGGGAAGAACAAGUACCGUUCGAAUAGGUCGGUACCUUGACGGUACCUAACCAGAAAGCCCCGGCUAACUACGUGCCAGCAGCCGCGGUAAUACGUAGGGGGCAAGCGUUGUCCGGAAUUAUUGGGCGUAAAGGGCGCGCAGGCGGUCUUCUAAGUCUGAUGUGAAAGCCCACGGCUUAACCGUGGAAGGUCAUUGGAAACUGGGGGACUUGAGUGCAGAAGAGGAGAGUGGAAUUCCAUGUGUAGCGGUGAAAUGCGUAGAGAUAUGGAGGAACACCAGUGGCGAAGGCGA
RNAcentral lists this ribosomal RNA (708 nucleotides) under uncultured bacterium. Its description in RNAcentral is "bacterial SSU rRNA". It matches the Rfam family "Bacterial small subunit ribosomal RNA", at positions 48 to 724 of the family's 1533-position model. The record is from RNAcentral.